AGCGGCGCGCUUAACGCAUGCAAGUCGAGCGAUGAGGCUCCCUUCGGGGAGUACAUCAGCGGCAGACGGGUGAGUAACACGUAGGUAACCUGCCCUCAAGACGGGGAUAACGCCUGGAAACGGGCGCUAAUACCGGAUGACCUUAGUUGGGGAAGAUCCGAUUAAGGAAAGGCUAUGGCGCUUGAGGAGGGGCCUGCGGCCCAUCAGUUAGUUGGUAGGGUAACGGCCUACCAAGGCGAAGACGGGUAGGGGGUGUGAGAGCACGGCCCCCCACACUGGGACUGAGACACGGCCCAGACUCCUACGGGAGGCAGCAGCGGGGAAUAUUGCGCAAUGGACGGAAGUCAGACGCAGCGACGCCGCGUGGGUGAAGAAGGCCUUCGGGUUGUAAAGCCCUUUUCUGAGGGAAGAGAAAGGACGGUACCUUAGGAAUAAGCGUCGGCUAACUACGUGCCAGCAGCCGCGGUAAGACGUAGGACGCGAGCGUUAUCCGGAUUUACUGGGCGUAAAGCGUGUGUAGGCGGCGUGACAAGUUGGGCGUGAAAGCCCCGUGCUCAACGCGGGGAGGCCGCACAAUACUGUCAGGCUAGGGGGCACCAGAGGGGUGUGGAAUUCCCGGAGUAGCGGUAAAAUGCGCAGAUAUCGGGAGGAACACCCGGUAGCGAAAGCGGCACCCUGGGGUGCGCCUGACGCUGAGA
This 698-nucleotide ribosomal RNA is filed under the name uncultured organism. RNAcentral describes it as "bacterial SSU rRNA". It matches the Rfam family "Bacterial small subunit ribosomal RNA", at positions 38 to 751 of the family's 1533-position model. The record is from RNAcentral.